GGCCCACUGGUACCACUGUAUGGGCUGUGACAUUUGGUACAGUAAAGCGCACAGUUGCACGUUUGGUCAUUCUGAUAGUCUCUAUGGGCUAUGGUGUUGUUAGACCUACUCUGGGUGGUCUCACAUCAAAGGUCCUUUUGCUUGGAGGAACAUUCUUUUUGGCUUCUGAAGUGCUUGAACUGGUAGAAAAUGUUGGUGCUGUCAGUGAUUUCUCAGGAAAAGCAAGGUUGUUUUUUGUACUUCCUGUGACAUUCUUGGAUGCUUUCUUUAUCGUUUGGAUAUUCACCUCCUUGUCGGCAACUGUGAAUAAGCUUCAGGCUAGAAGGUUGUUGGCCAAAUUAGACAUCUAUCGCAAGUUCACAAAUGCAUUGGCUGUCACUGUUGUUGUAUCUGUUGGAUGGAUGUGCUAUGAGCUGUACUUCAAGUCCACUGAUGUGUACAAUGAGCGAUGGCGAAAUGCCUGGAUUAUUCCUGCCUUCUGGCAAGUGCUAUCUUUCUCUCUCCUUUGCAUCAUCUGCGUUCUUUGGGCACCAUCUCAAAACUCCAUGAGAUAUGCCUACUCUGAUGAUGGUGAAGAGUUCGAUAAGGACGCUACAUUUACGCUCAUAAAGCCGUCCCCUCUGCUGCCAAAGGAUGUAAGAAGCCAACCUGAAGUGAGGCCAACAUUGGGUAACAGCGAACUAUCUAAUGGUGAAGUUGUAGAAGACAAGACCGAGUAAAGCAAGACACACAACUUUUUUACAGUACGUUAAAGAAAGGUACCCGUCAGACUGAGUAAAUUGUUUUUAGAAUCAUGUUAUCUAUGUUGUCUGUAUAAAAAAAGUACGAAUGUUAAUCAGGAGAAGUCUUUUAGGUAAAACAAACUUGUAAUUGUUGUUUUUUUUAGAAGUAAUGUUCAUUAAUCUAAUGUGAUCUCUCUUGCAAUAAUUCUUAUAGUUAAAAGGGUUUCGCCCAA
This 955-nucleotide unclassified non-coding RNA is filed under the name Hevea brasiliensis (rubber tree). The record is from RNAcentral. Lineage: Eukaryota; Viridiplantae; Streptophyta; Magnoliopsida; Malpighiales; Euphorbiaceae.